UGAGCAAUCUGCCCUUCUCUUUGGAAUAAGCGUUGGAAACGACGUCUAAUGCCGAAUACGACCUCCUUUCGCAUGAUCGGAGGUGGAAAGCUCCGGCGGAGAAGGAUGAGCUCGCGGCCUAUCAGCUAGUUGGUGUGGGUAAUGGCCCACCAAGGCGACGACGGGUAGCCGGCCUGAGAGGGUGACCGGCCACACUGGGAACUGAGACACGGCCAGACUCCUACGGGAGGCAGCG
Molecule: ribosomal RNA, 235 nt
Filed under: uncultured bacterium
Lineage: Bacteria
Description: partial 16S ribosomal RNA
Rfam family: Bacterial small subunit ribosomal RNA
Source: RNAcentral